This 497-nucleotide ribosomal RNA is filed under the name uncultured bacterium. RNAcentral's name for it is "partial 16S ribosomal RNA". It matches the Rfam family "Bacterial small subunit ribosomal RNA", at positions 28 to 507 of the family's 1533-position model. The record is from RNAcentral.
GACGAACGCUGGCGGCGUGCCUAAUACAUGCAAGUUGAGCGCUGAAGGUUGGUACUUGUACCAACUGGAUGAGCAGCGAACGGGUGAGUAACGCGUGGGGAAUCUGCCUUUGAGCGGGGGACAACAUUUGGAAACGAAUGCUAAUACCGCAUAAAAACUUUAAACACAAGUUUUAAGUUUGAAAGAUGCAAUUGCAUCACUCAAAGAUGAUCCCGCGUUGUAUUAGCUAGUUGGUGAGGUAAAGGCUCACCAAGGCGAUGAUACAUAGCCGACCUGAGAGGGUGAUCGGCCACAUUGGGACUGAGACACGGCCCAAACUCCUACGGGAGGCAGCAGUAGGGAAUCUUCGGCAAUGGACGAAAGUCUGACCGAGCAACGCCGCGUGAGUGAAGAAGGUUUUCGGAUCGUAAAACUCGGUUGGUAGAGAAGAACGUUGGUGAGAGUGGAAAGCUCAUCAAGUGACGGUAACUACUCAGAAAGGGACGGCUAACUACGUG